RNAcentral lists this ribosomal RNA (164 nucleotides) under Sabulina basaltica. RNAcentral describes it as "5.8S ribosomal RNA". It matches the Rfam family "5.8S ribosomal RNA". From Rfam's summary of the family: 5.8S ribosomal RNA (5.8S rRNA) is a component of the large subunit of the eukaryotic ribosome. It is transcribed by RNA polymerase I as part of the 45S precursor that also contains 18S and 28S rRNA. Functionally, it is thought that 5.8S rRNA may be involved in ribosome translocation. Lineage: Eukaryota; Viridiplantae; Streptophyta; Magnoliopsida; Caryophyllales; Caryophyllaceae. The record is from RNAcentral.
UAAACGACUCUSGGCAACGGAUAUCUCGGCUCUCGCAUCGAUGAAGAACGUAGCGAAAUGCGAUACUUGGUGUGAAUUGCARAAUCCCGUGAACCAUCGAGUCUUUGAACGCAAGUUGCGCCCGAAGCCUUCGGGCUUAGGGCACGUCUGCCUGGGCGUCACGC